CGGACGGGUGAGUAAUGUCUGGGAAACUGCCCGAUGGAGGGGGAUAACUACUGGAAACGGUAGCUAAUACCGCAUAACGUCGCAAGACCAAAGAGGGGGACCUUCGGGCCUCUUGCCAUCGGAUGUGCCCAGAUGGGAUUAGCUAGUGGGUGGGGUAACGGCUCACCUAGGCGACGAUCCCUAGCUGGUCUGAGAGGAUGACCAGCCACACUGGAACUGAGACACGGUCCAG
This 232-nucleotide ribosomal RNA is filed under the name uncultured bacterium. RNAcentral's name for it is "partial 16S ribosomal RNA". It matches the Rfam family "Bacterial small subunit ribosomal RNA", at positions 99 to 334 of the family's 1533-position model. The record is from RNAcentral.